This 447-nucleotide ribosomal RNA is filed under the name uncultured bacterium. Its description in RNAcentral is "partial 16S ribosomal RNA". It matches the Rfam family "Bacterial small subunit ribosomal RNA", at positions 29 to 523 of the family's 1533-position model. The record is from RNAcentral.
AGCGAACGCUGGCGGCAGGCUUAACACAUGCAAGUCGAGCGCCCCGCAAGGGGAGCGGCAGACGGGAGAGAAACACGUGGGAACAUACCUUUUGGUUCGGAACAACUGAGGGAAACUUCAGCUAAUACCGGAUAAGCCCUAACGGGGAAAGAUUUAUCGCCGAAAGAUUGGCCCGCGUCUGAUUAGCUAGUUGGUGAGGUAAAGGCUCACCAAGGCGACGAUCAGUAGCUGGUCUGAGAGGAUGAUCAGCCUCAUUGGGACUUAGACACGGCCCAAACUCCUACGUGAGGCAGCAUUGGGGAAUAUUGGACAAUGUGCGCAAGCCUGAUCCAGCCAUGCCGCGUGAGUGAUGAAGGCCUUAGGGUUGUAAAGCUCUUUUGCCCGGGAAGAUAAUGACGGUACCGGGAGAAUAAGCCCCGGCUAACUUCGUGCCAGCCGCCGCAGUAA